AGAGUUUGAUCCUGGCUCAGAUUGAACGCUGGCGGCAUGCUUUACACAUGCAAGUCGAACGGUAACAGGGAGCUUGCUCCGCUGACGAGUGGCGAACGGGUGAGUAAUGCAUCGGAACGUACCCAGUAGUGGGGGAUAACGUAGCGAAAGUUACGCUAAUACCGCAUACGUCCUACGGGAGAAAGUGGGGGACCGCAAGGCCUCACGCUAUUGAAUGAGCCGAUGUCGGAUUAGCUAGUUGGCGGGGUAAAGGCCCACCAAGGCGACGAUCCGUAGCUGGUCUGAGAGGAUGAUCAGCCACACUGGAACUGAGACACGGUCCAGACUCCUACGGGAGGCAGCAGUGGGGAAUAUUGGACAAUGGGCGCAAGCCUGAUCCAGCCAUGCCGCGUGAGUGAAGAAGGCCCUCGGGUUGUAAAGCUCUUUUGUUGGGAAAGAAAUCCUGUUGGCUAAUACCCGGCGGGGAUGACGGUACCCAAAGAAUAAGCACC
Molecule: ribosomal RNA, 491 nt
Filed under: uncultured Pseudomonadota bacterium
Lineage: Bacteria; Pseudomonadati; Pseudomonadota
Description: bacterial SSU rRNA
Rfam family: Bacterial small subunit ribosomal RNA
Source: RNAcentral